RNAcentral lists this ribosomal RNA (250 nucleotides) under uncultured Bartonella sp. RNAcentral's name for it is "partial 16S ribosomal RNA". It matches the Rfam family "Bacterial small subunit ribosomal RNA", at positions 524 to 774 of the family's 1533-position model. Lineage: Bacteria; Pseudomonadati; Pseudomonadota; Alphaproteobacteria; Hyphomicrobiales; Bartonellaceae. The record is from RNAcentral.
UACGAAGGGGGCUAGCGUUGUUCGGAUUUACUGGCGUGAAGCGCACGUAGGCGGAUAUUUAAGUCAGAGGUGAAAUCCCAGGGCUCAACCCUGGAACUGCCUUUGAUACUGGAUGUCUUGAGUAGGGAAGAGGUGAGUGGAAUUCCGAGUGUAGAGGUAAAAUUCGUAGAUAUUCGGAGGAACACCAGUGGCGAAGGCGGCUCACUGGUCCAUUACUGACGCUGAGGUGCGAAAGCGUGGGGAGCAAACA